Molecule: non-coding RNA, 112 nt
Filed under: Paramoeba aestuarina
Lineage: Eukaryota; Discosea; Flabellinia; Dactylopodida; Paramoebidae
Source: RNAcentral
AGAAUUCUCUGGCACUCCUCUUCAUCAUAUAAUCGGUAUGGGGAAAAUUGAGAGUGUGCAAAUGCUCCUCGAUGCUGGAGCCGAUGUAAAUGCAGAUUUUGAGGGAAACACA